Long non-coding RNA from Homo sapiens (human), 1266 nucleotides. The record is from Ensembl. NCBI's taxonomy places the organism in Eukaryota, Metazoa, Chordata, Mammalia, Primates, Hominidae.
ACCAGCCUUUCUCUCGGACCCGGUAGUGGUCCGUGAAGUCCGCGGAGUGGGCGCUGAUGGUGGGGCUAUCCCUUCCCACUGUCCGCGAGGUGCGCCGUGGUAACGCGCGGGGACACAGCGCGGGUGUGGACCCCCUGCCCACAGCUGGCGCACAGCCAUUGAGUGUAGACCCGACUGGGGCACGACCACUGAACCCUGCACUUGGCGUCCUCCGGGCCCCGCGAGGGGCCUUGCUGGGCGGGUCCGCGGCACCCCGGGUUCCCAGAAGUCGAGGCCCCGAAUGCGCCUCCCCUCGCCUGGAAUCGGAGAGCGGAGGGCUCCUGCGGGCAGGUGGCCGUGCUCCGAAGAGCGCCCUGCCACCCAUGAGGUGGCCCUGGGGGCGUCGCUAGCCUUCCCAGCUGGGUGUCCUCAUCCGGAGACACAAACACCUGCCUCAGGAUUAAAGCGAGGAGCUGUAUUUCAGACCGUCUCAGGAGAAAUAGCAAGAGGCUGCCUCACUCCUUUGCCCUUGUGAGAGCUAUUUCUUUACUCAGUUCACUGGUCAGCUAGGAGUUUGAAAGAGUGAAAUCUUAUUUAUAAAAGGAAUAGCUAAUGCAACCCAUUUUUCCAGUUUUGUGUGAACAGUGAAACCAUUGAACAAGCGUUUACUGUUCUCCGGCUCGUGCUGGAUGAACAAACACUAAGAAAUGGGGAAGUGGCAUUUUUCUCUCUCUCAUUUUCCACCAUGCUAAGAAAGGAGAUUAAAAAUCAGGGCUGCCUGUCUAAUAUGGUCUCCAGAAGUCAUUAAGUGAUAGGUUUUGCUCUUCUGUUUGCUUCUAGGCUUGGUAAGAUGGUAAUGAGAAUGCCUGUUCUUUUGAUUACUUUGCCCACUCCAUUUCCUCCCUAAAAUCUUUCAGUUAAAAGGUGGAUCCUCAAAAAGUUUCAUUGUCCAUCCUACUGCCUCAGUAGAGAUUUUAUCUAAACUCAAUUAGAUAAAAACAAAUACCACAGGAACCCUAGGAAAGCAAGUCGCGCCUUCUUGUGAUGAAACGGUCCAAUGCUCAGCAUCCUUUUCCUUUAGGCAGAAGAUAUUUCUAUGUGGCCUGUUCAUACUAAUAUGAGAAGUCUUAUCCUUAUGUCCUUAACUUUAAAAGGUCAGAAAAUAGAUUGUAAAAUCUAUAGAAUAAAACUAUGUUUCUGUUGAAUAAGAGAGUAUGUCCGUAAGUGUUACGGGAAAGGGGUCCGGAUCCAUACCCCAAAAGAGGGUUCUUGGAUCUUGCGCAAAAA